This 482-nucleotide ribosomal RNA is filed under the name uncultured bacterium. RNAcentral's name for it is "bacterial SSU rRNA". It matches the Rfam family "Bacterial small subunit ribosomal RNA", at positions 28 to 507 of the family's 1533-position model. The record is from RNAcentral.
GACGAACGCUGGCGGCGUGCCUAACACAUGCAAGUCGAGCGGAGUCGAUCGACGGAAGCCUUCGGGCGGAAGAUGGUUGACUUAGCGGCGGAUGGGUGAGUAACGCGUGGGCAACCUGCCUCGAAGACCGGGAUAACAGCCCGAAAGGGCUGCUAAUACCGGAUGUGGUCAAGGAUCCGCAUGGAUUUUUGAUUAAAGGGGAAACCCGUUUCGAGAUGGGCCCGCGUCCUAUCAGCUAGUUGGUGAGGUAAAAGCUCACCAAGGCGACGACGGGUAGCCGGCCUGAGAGGGUGACCGGCCACACUGGAACUGAGACACGGUCCAGACUCCUACGGGGGGCAGCAGUGGGGAAUCUUCCACAAUGGGCGAAAGCCUGAUGGAGCGACGCCGCGUGAGCGAAGAAGGCCUUCGGGUUGUAAAGCUCUGUCUGAGGGACGAAGGAAGUGACGGUACCUCCGGAGGAAGCCACGGCUAACUACGUG